GACGAACGCUGGCGGCGUGCUUAACACAUGCAAGUCGAACGGAAAGGCCCUGCUUUUGUGGGGUGCUCGAGUGGUGAACGGGUGAGUAACACGUGAGUAACCUGCCCUUGACUUUGGGAUAACUUCAGGAAACUGGGGCUAAUACCGGAUAGGAGCUCCUGCUGCAUGGUGGGGGUUGGAAAGUUUCGGCGGUUGGGGAUGGACUCGCGGCUUAUCAGCUUGUUGGUGGGGUAGUGGCUUACCAAGGCUUUGACGGGUAGCCGGCCUGAGAGGGUGACCGGCCACAUUGGGACUGAGAUACGGCCCAGACUCCUACGGGAGGCAGCAGUGGGGGAUAUUGCACAAUGGGCGGAAGCCUGAUGCAGCAACGCCGCGUGCGGGAUGACGGCCUUCGGGUUGUAAACCGCUUUCGCCUGUGACGAAGCGUGAGUGACGGUAAUGGGUAAAGAAGCACCGGCUAACUACGUG
RNAcentral lists this ribosomal RNA (468 nucleotides) under uncultured bacterium. Its description in RNAcentral is "partial 16S ribosomal RNA". It matches the Rfam family "Bacterial small subunit ribosomal RNA", at positions 28 to 507 of the family's 1533-position model. The record is from RNAcentral.